GACGAACCGUCCAAACGUUAUUCGGAAUCACUGGGCUUACAGAGUUCGUAGGCGGUCUGGAAAGUUGGGUGUGAAAUCCCUCGGCUCAACCGAGGAACUGCGCUUGAAACUACCAGACUCGAGGGAGAUAGAGGAAAGCGGAACUGAUGGUGGAGCGGUGAAAUGCGUUGAUAUCAUCAGGAACACCGGUGGCGAAGGCGGCUUUCUGGACGGACACUGACGCUGAGACGCGAAAGCGUGGGUAGCAAACAGG
This 253-nucleotide ribosomal RNA is filed under the name uncultured bacterium. Its description in RNAcentral is "partial 16S ribosomal RNA". It matches the Rfam family "Bacterial small subunit ribosomal RNA", at positions 524 to 776 of the family's 1533-position model. The record is from RNAcentral.